RNAcentral lists this ribosomal RNA (403 nucleotides) under bacterium. RNAcentral describes it as "partial 16S ribosomal RNA". It matches the Rfam family "Bacterial small subunit ribosomal RNA", at positions 355 to 776 of the family's 1533-position model. The record is from RNAcentral.
UGGGGAAUAUUGCACAAUGGGGGAAACCCUGAUGCAGCGACGCCGCGUGAACGAAGAAGGUAUUCGUAUCGUAAAGUUCUGUCCUAUGGGAAGAUAAUGACAGUACCAUAGAAGAAAGCUCCGGCUAAAUACGUGCCAGCAGCCGCGGUAAUACGUAUGGAGCGAGCGUUGUCCGGAAUUAUUGGGCGUAAAGGGUACGCAGGCGGUUUAAUAAGUCGAAUGUUAAAGAUCGGUGCUCAACCCCGCAAAGCAUUGGAAACUGAUAAACUUGAGUAGUGGAGAGGAAAGUAGAAUUCCUAGUGUAGUGGUGAAAUACGUAGAUAUUAGGAGGAAUACCAGUAGCGAAGGCGACUUUCUGGACACAAACUGACGCUGAGGUACGAAAGCGUGGGGAGCAAACAGG